RNAcentral lists this ribosomal RNA (497 nucleotides) under uncultured bacterium. RNAcentral's name for it is "partial 16S ribosomal RNA". It matches the Rfam family "Bacterial small subunit ribosomal RNA", at positions 28 to 507 of the family's 1533-position model. The record is from RNAcentral.
GAUGAACGCUGGCGGCGUGCCUAAUACAUGCAAGUCGAGCGAACGGACGAGAAGCUUGCUUCUCUGAUGUUAGCGGCGGACGGGUGAGUAACACGUGUAUAACCUACCUAUAAGACUGGGAUAACUUCGGGAAACCGGAGCUAAUACCGGAUAAUAUUUUGAACCGCAUGGUUCAAAAGUGAAAGACGGUCUUUCUGUCACUUAUAGAUGGAUCCGCGCUGCAUUAGCUAGUUGGUAAGGUAACGGCUUACCAAGGCAACGAUGCAUAGCCGACCUGAGAGGGUGAUCGGCCACACUGGAACUGAGACACGGUCCAGACUCCUACGGGAGGCAGCAGUAGGGAAUCUUCCGCAAUGGGCGAAAGCCUGACGGAGCAACGCCGCGUGAGUGAUGAAGGUCUUCGGAUCGUAAAACUCUGUUAUUAGGGAAGAACAUAUGUGUAAGUAACUGUGCACAUCUUGACGGUACCUAAUCAGAAAGCCACGGCUAACUACGUG